AAUAAGCGAAAGCUUGACGGGGCUAUCCCGAGUGCCGUCUGCUGAAGAUGGCUUUUACCUAGUGUAGAUAGCUGGGAGAAUAAGGGGAGGGCAAGUCUGGUGUCAGCCGCCGCGGUAAUACAA
Molecule: ribosomal RNA, 123 nt
Filed under: uncultured archaeon
Lineage: Archaea
Description: partial 16S ribosomal RNA
Rfam family: Archaeal small subunit ribosomal RNA
Source: RNAcentral